This 1397-nucleotide ribosomal RNA is filed under the name uncultured marine bacterium. Its description in RNAcentral is "bacterial SSU rRNA". It matches the Rfam family "Bacterial small subunit ribosomal RNA". The record is from RNAcentral.
AACGUACGCUGGCGGCACGCCUAACACAUGCAAGUCGAACGAAGUAGCAAUACUUAGUGGCAGACGGGUGAGUAACAUGUGGGUAUCUGCCCUUUGGCCUGGAAUAACACGAGGAAACUUGUGCUAAUACCGGAUAAGUCUUUACGGAGAAAGCCUUAUGCACCAUUGGAUGAGCCCGCACUUGAUUAGUUUGUUGGUGGGGUAAUGGCCUACCAAGACUGUGAUCAAUAGCUGAUUUGAGAGGAUGAUCAGCCACAUUGGGACUGAGACACGGCCCAAACUCCUACGGGAGGCAGCAGUGGGGAAUCUUGCACAAUGGAGGAAACUCUGAUGCAGCGAUGCCGCGUGAGUGAAGAAGGCCCUUGGGUUGUAAAGCUCUUUCGUCGGGGAAGAAAAUGACUGUACCCGAAUAAGAAGGUCCGGCUAACUUCGUGCCAGCAGCCGCGGUAAUACGAAGGGACCUAGCGUAGUUCGGAAUUACUGGGCUUAAAGAGUUCGUAGGUGGUUGAAAAAGUUAGUGGUGAAAUCCCAGAGCUUAACUCUGGAACUGCCAUUAAAACUUUUCAGCUAGAGUAUGAUAGAGGAAAGCAGAAUUUCUAGUGUAGAGGUGAAAUUCGUAGAUAUUAGAAAGAAUACCAAUUGCGAAGGCAGCUUUCUGGAUCAUUACUGACACUGAGGAACGAAAGCAUGGGUAGCGAAGAGGAUUAGAUACCCUCGUAGUCCAUGCCGUAAACGAUGUGUGUUAGACGUUGGAAAUUUAUUUUCAGUGUCGCAGCGAAAGCGAUAAACACACCGCCUGGGGAGUACGACCGCAAGGUUAAAACUCAAAUGAAUUGACGGGGACCCGCACAAGUAGUGGAGCAUGUGGUUUAAUUCGAAGAUACGCGCAGAACCUUACCAACACUUGACAUGUUCGUCGCGACUCUAAGAGAUUAGAGUUUUCGGUUCGGCCGGACGAAACACAGGUGCUGCAUGGCUGUCGUCAGCUCGUGUCGUGAGAUGUUGGGUUAAGUCCCGCAACGAGCGCAACCCUCACUUUUAGUUGCCAUCAUUAAGUUGGGCACUCUGAAAGAACUGCCAGUGAUAAGCUGGAGGAAGGUGGGGAUGACGUCGAGUCCUCAUGGCCCUUACGUGUUGGGCUACACACGUGCUACAAUGGUAUCUACAACAGGAAGCAAGGCUGCGAGGUCAAGCAAAUCCUUAAAAGAUACCUCAGUUCGGAUUGCACUCUGCAACUCGAGUGCAUGAAGCUGGAAUUACUAGUAAUCGUGGAUCAGCGUGCCACGGUGAAUGCGUUCCCGGGUCUUGUACACACCGCCCGUCACACCAUGGGAGUUGGUUCUACCUUAAGGCAAGGUUUCAAACCCUUGACCACGGUAUAGUCAGCGACUGGGGUG